AUACCUUUCUCGGCCUUUUGGCUAAGAUCAAGUGUAGUAUCUGUUCUUAUCAGUUUAAUAUCUGAUAUGUGGACCAUUGGUUCACACGAUAUUAAAUUUAUUUUUUGAGGGGGGAAAGCCUGUCGAGGUAGCUUGCUAUCUGGGCUUUCGAGCGUCGCCUAUGCGUUGCACUACUGCACAUGCCUGGCGCAUCCCGC
Molecule: small nuclear RNA, 197 nt
Organism: Salvia splendens (bonfire salvia)
Lineage: Eukaryota; Viridiplantae; Streptophyta; Magnoliopsida; Lamiales; Lamiaceae
Product: U2 spliceosomal RNA
Exons: 1
Source: RefSeq, a predicted model, not a curated record